UGAUUCUUGACAGAGAGCUGAGAAAACGAUACUGAAAGAAUAGAAAUUUUAAUGGGAAGUCAUAGAUGUGAUAAUGUAAGAGUAUAAAAGGAAGCCAAGGACUGGGAGAUUAAGUAGAUGAAAGGUAAAGGGAUUCAGAAAUGGAAGGUACUUCAAGCUAGUCAGUUUGUUCAUAUUUUCCAGAAGUGUAUAGUCUUCACUGGUGGCUCUCAGCUCACCUGUCAGCACCUUCAAAAUACCCAAGGAAAACAGGGUACUUGGAAAUUGAAAUUUUCCUCAAGACCAUCUAACAUUUGAAUGAUUGUCCAAAAUGCUUCAUUGUGAAAAUAGACAAUGUGGCCUCCAAACAGAGACCGCAAAUUUGCUGUAGUGAUGAUGAAGAAGAACAUCAUGAGACACGAAGCUAUGCAUGGUUAUCUGGAAAACAACCUUGUUUUGGAAAAACAUUGCCUCAUAUCCAGGAAAAUGUGGGCUUUGUGUUCACCAAAUAGAAUCUGACUGAGAUUGGAGACAUUCAUUUGUCAACGAGGUAACAGCUGCUACUUGUGCUAGAGGAAUUUCCUCCAAGUGAGUUCACUGUGUGUACACUGGUCUGGGUCCUAAAAAGCCCUCCUUCUUGCAAGCUUUGGGAAUCACUACUAAGUUAGUAGUUAGUACUAUAGGAGCACUAUUGAAAUCUUGAAUGAUGUGCCAUUGAUUAAAACUAUAGACAAAGCAGGUGCCAGCAGAGUGAUAUUAUCAAAUAUGUUGACUAUCUCCCCCCAUUCUCCUUUGGGUAGAUAAUUCACCUGGGGUUUGAUAAUGCCAGCAUCUAUAGUCCUGGAAUACUUGAUAUAACAAGGGAAACUUUGUGUCUUUGCUUCUUGGAGGGGAUAUGUAAUGUUUCCUGUUUCUGUUUGCAGACUGGUCACUCAGUUUUUGUACCCACAUUGUACUCUUUCAUCAAUAACUAGCAGGGGUUCUUGGCUGUACCUGUGAAGACUAAGUAUACUUUCCCAAUUGAUGAAAAGGUAAAAACUUUGUUUGCAGAUUCUUCAGCAUUUGUAGCUGCUGUCCCUGUGGCACCAGUCAUAACAGCUGUUCCUCUAACUGCUGUUCCAGUCAAGGUGGAAGCCAAGGAAGAAUCUGAUGAAGAUACGGGAUUUGAUCUAUUGGAUUCUCCCAAAUUAAACAACUAUUCAAUUCAUUUUGUUUGUGAAACAAAGAGAUAGUGUUCAUUUAUCUCUGAAAUGAAAACCACCUCCCCCCAAAACACACACACACACACACACACACAUACACACAUACACACAUACAC
Molecule: long non-coding RNA, 1297 nt
Filed under: Phascolarctos cinereus (koala)
Lineage: Eukaryota; Metazoa; Chordata; Mammalia; Diprotodontia; Phascolarctidae
Description: lncRNA (ENSPCIG00000031843.1)
Source: RNAcentral